Molecule: transfer RNA, 72 nt
Filed under: Ictidomys tridecemlineatus (thirteen-lined ground squirrel)
Lineage: Eukaryota; Metazoa; Chordata; Mammalia; Rodentia; Sciuridae
Also listed under: 1 other name
Description: Spermophilus tridecemlineatus (thirteen-lined ground squirrel) tRNA
Rfam family: tRNA
About the family: Transfer RNA (tRNA) molecules are approximately 80 nucleotides in length. Their secondary structure includes four short double-helical elements and three loops (D, anti-codon, and T loops). Further hydrogen bonds mediate the characteristic L-shaped molecular structure. tRNAs have two regions of fundamental functional importance: the anti-codon, which is responsible for specific mRNA codon recognition, and the 3' end, to which the tRNAs corresponding amino acid is attached (by aminoacyl-tRNA synthetases). tRNAs cope with the degeneracy of the genetic code in two manners: having more than one tRNA (with a specific anti-codon) for a particular amino acid; and 'wobble' base-pairing, i.e. permitting non-standard base-pairing at the 3rd anti-codon position.
Source: Rfam by way of RNAcentral
GGGGAUGUGGCUUAGUGGUAGAGAGGAUGCUUAGCAUAUGCAAGGCCCUGGGUUCAAUUCCCAGCACCACCA